AGUUAUUAUUAGUCUUUUACACACAAGUUAAAAGACUCAAGUAAAAAAAAGAAGCAAUACAGCAAAUUAAAAUCACAGCAGAAAGACAGACACAAUGAAAGAUACGAGGCUACAUUUUCAGCAUGGUGUCUAAACUUAAGACAUCUAAAACUCAAACCAACUGCUAGGUACUUGGUUACAGAGCUCUCGCUGUGAUAAGCACCGAGUGAGUGAGCACUAGCUUCCAUAUUUUUCAUGUAAUCAAGUCAUUUUACUACAUGCUUGAACUUGGGCAGAGAAGCCUAACCUUUGUUUCUGGAAGAGUAUUUAGAACAUGAAACACUAACAGCUUUCAGGGAACCAGCCAUGGGAUGUUCAACUCUUCCUGAACUAGAAUCCUGGUUCUCAAAUUUAAAAGCUCCAAGGAGGAAAAGGUCAUGACCACAACAACAAGGUUAAACAUUACUAUGAUUUAAACAUCAAUUUGCUGCAGACCCAAGUAUCCAGUUUUUUGUUCAGUUACCCAUUGAAUGAGGCCAUGACCACAAUUGACACUUUCCUCUCAGGCCAUCUGAUUUAUAAGAGAACCUGUCCAGCAGUGAACUAAUACCUGCUCUGGAAAUUUCCGCUAUCAAAGGUUGUAUCGGGAUAAUUAGGGGGUUUUGCAUUGAUAAAAAUUCAUACAUUCAAGACAUAUUUAUAAGUAGGGGACUGGUGGCUCCACACUAUACCCUCUUCUGCCACACUUCACGCCAUCCUGUCAUUUGAUUUAAAUGUUAAAGUGCUGUCACACCUAGAUCAAUCUCUGACAGAAAUCACAAGCUACUUCCAGCCAAAGAUAAAGUACUCAUAGGAGGUGGAUGCUCCCCAGCUCUGAGAGGCAGGUAUCAGCAGUCUCUGCCACACAAGUGCAGAUUCAGCUAAUCUCUGCUAGCCUUCCACACACCUCAAAAAAACAUGGCUGAUUAUUUGCGUACAGUAUCUGCAGGUUAGCCUUACUUCUCAGCAUUUAUUCACUAACUCUCCAAUAGAAGUUCCUCCUGUUCUGUGCUCCACCAAAAAUCUAGGAUCACAACCUCAGCUGUGGCAUCCAACCUUGUCUUCAACUCAACUGUAUUGCACCAAUUAGGGAUUUUUUCAAGUGCUUAGAAAAAAAAAAUCUAUUUCCCUUACUUUAUCUUUGUAAACUGUUUGUAGUCACAACUACAAGCUAGUUGCCAGGCAAGUGAAAAACACAAAACACAAAUCUCAUAGGUGCUGCCAAUAAUUUCAGUAUGAAAUUAAAAUAGUGAUACAUGUAAUACAAAUAGGCAAAGAGACCUUAUGCCCCAACCUUCUAGACUAAUUCCUCCAGCUCUCCAAGUCAACAGCAAAUGGAGAUACCUAUCUCUGUCUUCAUUUCAUGAUAAACUCCUAGCAUGCAGACUGAGGAUGCACUCCAUUUACAGGCAGUACUCCUAAUGAAGUCAACAGCCUCACAUCUAUCCCCACAACUGAUAACAAGUAUUACCAAAGCAAUGGCUCCUCGGCUGCACAAUGUAAGUUAGCUGUAGUAACAAUUAACUAUACACCUUUAUAAGAUUCAUCUCUACCUCACACCUGAAUUUUCAUGAAAAACAUCUCCCCCUGCAAACCCUUCCUACAGUUAGAUUUGCCUCUGUCCCACCUCCAUACAAACUGUCAAAAUAUCACUACAUGGGAGUAUGCACCUUCAUGAAACCAUCACCCAGAAAGAAUUUUCUAUGCAAGAAAACAACUAUGAGUCAGUUCCUGUUGUUUCUCUAAAAUUAUUCCUAUAUUAAUUAAUCUAAGGAAUUAAAUUGCCUUCAAUUUCUUUUAGUUCUCUCUUGAAGUUGCCUUUAGGACAAGAGCAAAUCUUCUGAGGUAAAACACUUAAUGGCAACUGUCACUACUUUUUGCUGGGACCAUGGUCAGCAAUUUGCUGAGCUGUGGUCCAUUGUCCACAUCUCAGACAAGAUCUAGACCACAACAUUGAACCACGUCUCUGUUUCUCCCCACUAUGGUCUUUGCUCAGGUAACACAGCUGUGUCUCUAACACAAUUUCAGUAGCACAUGCCUCAGCUUCCUUGAUGGGAGAGUACUGCCUCACACCCAAAGGAAGCUGUGGGCAGGCCUCUUCUCAGCUUCCUUGCAUGGAUUAUUGCACAAAUGACUAUCACUACUUGAAGAACGCAUUCAGCACACCAUAAGCCUCCUCUAGGCAAAAGGAGCCUCUAGUGUUUUCUCUGCUGUAAGCUCUCCUGAAAGCCCCUUCUCAGAUUUGCUAUAGGACAGGAGGGCAAUGGUAAAGCAACAAUCUAGUCACAAAUCUGGAUGGUCCUAAUCCUCAGCCUACAUGAGCCAACUCGCCUCCGUUCUCAUCAAAGCCACUAGUACUGAUUAAGGGCUAGCCUACAGUUGGUAUUAAUACAGGAACCAAUGCUUCAGAGAAGGCAUCAACAGCACUCUGAGUUUGCACAGUCCCAGUGACCGCAUGACACACAAAGUUAAAUGAGUUCCUUUUUGCAAAAUUAAUCUCGGAUCAAACCUUAGUCUGGCACAGGGAUUGUCAUCAGGAGCAAAGAAUCAGCAUCUGGAAUUUGAUUAAAUCAACUGGUAACCAAAACCACAUUCUAGAUGCAACAAGUAACCUUCUGCAGCCACGGCAGCUUAAGCACACACUUAAGUCCAAUUCCUGUGUAUUAGUGUGACUGAGUAAGCCUUUUGAUAUCAAUCUAACGCUGGCAAACUCAUACAGCAGCAGAAGCGGGGAAGAACAGCUCUUAAACUACCGUAGUCAUGGACCAACAGGACUAAAAACGAUUAAGAUGCAAGCUCUCAUGCCUUUUCUUGUACCUUCACCUUUUAAAGAUACCAGUUACAUCUUUACAACUAACAUCUAAAGUGCAACAAAACCUAACCGCUUAAUGUAUUGCGUAAAUAAACACAAACAGAUUUAUACAGGCUCCAAGGCUUCGCUGAUGGUAUUGCCAGGUACAACACAACAGAAUGGCAGAGCCCAGGAUCAAGCCCAAGCUAAGCAGACAGCCAUCAAAUCUUCAGUAUUUCCAUAGUUUAAAACCCAAUUCUGUCAAACAGCACUCUCUUAACAUCAUAUUUGAUGUUCAAAAUGAAGCUGUUCUAAUUCAAAAGUGGGUUGACUUUUUGUAACAUAAAUCUUUUGUUAAUGUUCAUAUAAAUCAAGUAUAGCUGAACAGAUUCUUAAAGGAUAUGACCAAAAAUUAAUUUGCCACAUUAGCUUCAGGUUAACAAAUUCUUCUGCUUGGAGACAGUCAUACAUUACCUAAUGCAUUUUAAGGUUCUUUGCAGCACACUGCUGUUCCUGAGUUUUGGAAAGAAACCUGUUGUGGCCUCAACAUUUUUGCACAGAAAAAGCUAAGCUCAGUAAUUCUACUGGAAAUAGGAGCUAAGUCUUUAACAUAAUGCCUUUUUCUUCAAUGAUUUUCCAAGUAUCCAAGAGGUGGAACAUGUUUUUAAGAUCUUCGAAAGCAAAAUGUUUGUCACACGUUACAUCUGCAUAGGCCAAAAUUAAAAAUCUUUACAGAAUAUAUGAGGAGAUACACACAUUUUUAAAUCACAAGUGCAUAAUACACAAUACUUCAGCUGUGUCACAGAUACAAAUAUAACUAAAGAUUCUCCUCUCUCAUUCAUUGGGAUUUGCAAAGUUAGAAUCGUGGAGCUUUUGUUUCAACAUUUAAUCAAAUUUAAAAAGAUGUUCCACAGUCACAAUUCAACACCAUCUCACUACCUAUAAAGAAGAAAAUGAAUACAAAAAAUGGGGAAAACACCACUUUUUGAGCUGCUACCACCAUUUUUUACCAGGUAACACCACCAAUUUUUGAAUUCUUCCUGCAAAGCUUUUUUUGUACAUUGAUAUAGUAUCUGCUACAGUUCUAUACAAAAACAUCAGUCAUUUGUGGACAGAUGUUUUCUUUGAUGGAAAGAGAAAACAUUUUAGUUUAACUUUUUUCAAGUUUUUUUCCUCUGGUCCAAAAAAUAGUAUAGAAUUUCUCUAUGCCAAAAGGUGGAGACAGUGCAGUUAAGACAUUCAAAGUAAGACGUGUAUUGCCCUAAUCCUCAGAUGAAAUUUAGAAAGUAGUAAUCAUAAAUUAAGAUCAAAAGAACAAGCAGUUCAGUGAUGAUCCAUAAACCUGUAAUGAACUGCAAAGUUCCUUAACUUGAUGCUCAAUACAAUUUUAUUUACUUCUCUUUUUGUUCAUACGCCAGCUCGCUAAGGGAAGGGGUAGGAAUGUGUACAGAAGAACACAAAGAAAGUAUAUUUUCAAGUACUAAAUUCUACCUUGUUUUUUAUUUUUUAUGCUAAUUCUGGCAUUAGAAUUCUCAAAGUACUUCUCAGUAAGAGUAAUAUAGUAUCCAAGUAAUCAAUACCUAACCUGCAGUGUUUGUAAAGGGUAUGACACAUGGAAAACAGAGUUUCUUCUUUUUUUCCAGUAAAAAUUCCUCUUUUUCAGACAAUUAAUUCUUUCAGUGAAAUCAUGGAUACAGUGAGGCAAAAUAAUUUUAAUGAGCCCCUUAAAUAGCCUGCACAAAACUGAAUGUGAACAACCCAUCUCAACAUACGACCUUUGUGUCAAAUAAACAUCUUCUCAUUUUCAACGGCAUAACAUCCUUCCUAAAUCAAAUCAUAUGUCUGUCUUAUGGCCUUAGGAAGUUACCUCACUUCCUCCACAGAGACCAAUCCAAGAGAACAGUCUCCUCAGCAACGGAAUACAGAAGACAAUACAAUUAUUUCUUCAAAUAGAACAAAGUUAACCUUUAUUUUGAGGAGUAUUUGAUGCUAUCCAUUACAAACAUGUAUUUUUCCCUUGCAGCUCAAGAAUGCUGGAACUUCAAGCUUUGCAUUGUGAACCUGUUCUUCAUACAAAACCACUCAUUUUUGUAAAGCACCAGAACCUCCUUGGGAGACUUUUGAACAAGCUAUAGGCUUUCAAAGACUAAAGACUGAAAUUUCCACAUUGAUGCUUCUACAAUAGUUAAAGUAACAAAAUAAAGAACCCUCUGACAAGCCAUCACUUGUAUAUCCCUGAAAACAAGUUAUCUACACCCAUUAACUUCAUUUUCUCGCAAACAGCCAAAAGAACUGUUAACAACAUCACAGGAAAACGCAUUCUGCCAUACUACUCACAUGCUUCUUGCUUCUGCUUCCAAACCACUGAAAGUCCUUCUGGAUGGGCAGAAAUUGCCAACAUAAAGGAAGUUCUUACGAAUUCCUGAUAAAGAAUAUAUUCUUUAAUUCACACCAGAAAAAUGACAAGAAGAAGGGUAGGCUCCAUAGCUCAUCAUCCACUCACUUGACAAAAAGCCAAAUUCUGCUAAAUGCAGCAGUGACCACUGAUUUCUUCAGCUUUGAAGAGGAAGUCAAAACGGAAAGACAUGGAUGCACGCUCAUUUCAAGUGCUGUCAGAAUCAAUAGGUACAUCUGUCCAAGAUAGUGAAUAGGAGGAAAUGCACUAGUAUCUCCUAAAAAUUGUUGAAUAACCAAUCUCAAUUUUUAAAAAUUUAAAAACAUCCAUAUAUUUUGAAUUGUAAGUUCAAGGAAUUUUGACUAUUUCCAGAGCUAGCCAUACAUAUAAUAGCAACAAAAAUAUUCAAUAGAAACUUCUGAGGAUCCAAGAAAGAUCGUAUUCAUAUUAGACUGUGACAUUUAUGGAUGAAAAGCACUGUUUAAGUAUUCUCAAAACACUUUAGAGUUUAUCAGGUCCAUGAAAUAAACUUUCAGGAAAGAAAAUGUUCAUUUUU
Molecule: long non-coding RNA, 5760 nt
Organism: Falco peregrinus (peregrine falcon)
Lineage: Eukaryota; Metazoa; Chordata; Aves; Falconiformes; Falconidae
Exons: 3
Source: RefSeq, a predicted model, not a curated record